Molecule: ribosomal RNA, 253 nt
Filed under: uncultured bacterium
Lineage: Bacteria
Description: partial 16S ribosomal RNA
Rfam family: Bacterial small subunit ribosomal RNA
Source: RNAcentral
UACAGGGGGGGCAAGCGUUGUUCGGAAUUACUGGGCGUAAAGGGCUCGUAGGUGGCCAACUAAGUCAGACGUGAAAUCCCUCAGCUUAACUGGGGAACUGCGUCUGAUACUGGAUGGCUUGAGUUUGGGAGAGGGAUGCGGAAUUCCAGGUGUAGCGGUGAAAUGCGUAGAUAUCUGGAGGAACACCGGUGGCGAAGGCGGCAUCCUGGACCAAUUCUGACGCUGAGGAGCGAAAGCGUGGGGAGCGAACAGG